ACAGCAGUCGCCGCGGGAAUACAGAGGGUGCGAGCGUUAAUCGGAUUUACUGGGCGUAAAGCGUGCGUAGGCGGCUUCUUAAGUCGGAUGUGAAAUCCCUGAGCUUAACUUAGGAAUUGCAUUCGAUACUGGGAAGCUAGAGUAUGGGAGAGGAUGGUAGAAUUCCAGGUGUAGCGGUGAAAUGCGUAGAGAUCUGGAGGAAUACCGAUGGCGAAGGCAGCCAUCUGGCCUAAUACUGACGCUGAGGUACGAAAGCAUGGGGAGCAAACAGGAUUAGAUACCCGGGUAGUCCCUGUCUCUUAUAA
RNAcentral lists this ribosomal RNA (305 nucleotides) under uncultured bacterium. RNAcentral describes it as "partial 16S ribosomal RNA". It matches the Rfam family "Bacterial small subunit ribosomal RNA", at positions 508 to 809 of the family's 1533-position model. The record is from RNAcentral.